This 898-nucleotide ribosomal RNA is filed under the name Thyronectria sinopica. RNAcentral describes it as "LSU rRNA". It matches the Rfam family "Eukaryotic large subunit ribosomal RNA", at positions 35 to 966 of the family's 3401-position model. Lineage: Eukaryota; Fungi; Ascomycota; Sordariomycetes; Hypocreales; Nectriaceae. The record is from RNAcentral.
UUAGCAUAUCAAUAAGCGGAGGAAAAGAAACCAACAGGGAUUGCCCUAGUAACGGCGAGUGAAGCGGCAACAGCUCAAAUUUGAAAUCUGGCCCUUGUGGUCCGAGUUGUAAUUUGUAGAGGAUGCUUUUGGUGCGGUACCUUCCGAGUUCCCUGGAACGGGACGCCAUAGAGGGUGAGAGCCCCGUCUGGUUGGAUACCAAUCCUCUGUAAAGCUCCUUCGACGAGUCGAGUAGUUUGGGAAUGCUGCUCAAAAUGGGAGGUAUAUGUCUUCUAAAGCUAAAUAUUGGCCAGAGACCGAUAGCGCACAAGUAGAGUGAUCGAAAGAUGAAAAGCACUUUGAAAAGAGGGUUAAAUAGUACGUGAAAUUGUUGAAAGGGAAGCGUUUGUGACCAGACUUGGGCUUGGUUAAUCAUCCAGCGUUCUCGCUGGUGCACUUUGCCAGCCCAGGCCAGCAUCAGUUUGCUGCGGGGGAUAAAAGUUUCGGGAAUGUGGCUCCUCGGAGUGUUAUAGCCCGUUGCACAAUACCCUGUGGUGGACUGAGGUUCGCGCAUCUGCAAGGAUGCUGGCGUAAUGGUCAUCAACGACCCGUCUUGAAACACGGACCAAGGAGUCGUCUUCGUAUGCGAGUGUUCGGGUGUCAAACCCCUACGCGUAAUGAAAGUGAACGGAGGUGGGAGCCUCGGCGCACCAUCGACCGAUCCUGAUGUUUUUGGAUGGAUUUGAGUAAGAGCAUACGGGGCCGGACCCGAAAGAAGGUGAACUAUGCCUGUAUAGGGUGAAGCCAGAGGAAACUCUGGUGGAGGCUCGCAGCGGUUUUGACGUGCAAAUCGAUCGUCAAAUAUGGGCAUGGGGGCGAAAGACUAAUCGAACCUUCUAGUAGCUGGUUUCCGCCGAAG